Molecule: ribosomal RNA, 414 nt
Filed under: uncultured microorganism
Description: bacterial SSU rRNA
Rfam family: Archaeal small subunit ribosomal RNA
Source: RNAcentral
CAGCAGCCGCGGUAAUACCGGCGGCCCGAGUGGCGGUCACUAUUAUUGGGCUUAAAGCGUCCGUAGCCGGGUUGGGAAGUCCUCCGGGAAAUCUGGCCGCUUAACGGUCAGAAUGCCGGAGGAUACUCCCAGCCUAGGGAGCGGGAGAGGCCGAGGGUAUUCCCGGAGUAGGGGUGAAAUCCUAUAAUCCCGGGAGGACCACCUGUGGCGAAGGCGCUCGGCUGGAACGCGUCCGACGGGGAGGGACGAAGGCCAGGGGAGCAAACCGGAUUAGAUACCCGGGUAGUCCUGGCGGUAAACGAUGCGGACUUUGUGUCGGACAAGCUAUGAGCUUGUCCGGUGCCGGAGGGAAACCGUUAAGUCCGCCGCCUGGGGAGUACGGCCGCAAGGCUGAAACUUAAAGGAAUUGGCGGG